UAAGCUUCAGUUAUUAGUAAUAUAACCUUGUCGAGGUUAGGAUUGAGAGCUUAA
Molecule: transfer RNA, 54 nt
Filed under: Scatoglyphus polytrematus
Lineage: Eukaryota; Metazoa; Arthropoda; Arachnida; Sarcoptiformes; Acaridae
Description: tRNA-Asp
Source: RNAcentral